AAGAUGAUGGAAAGAAACGAUGAUGAUCUGAAUCACCGAACAAAUGAAAGAGUUAAUUGUCGAAGAAGUGGGAAAGGCAAUUGAGGGUAGUCUAUCCGGGUUCAUAGACAAAAUUCAAAACACGAUAUUAUCAUUAGUCGAGGAAAGAGUCAAAAGGUUGGAAGAUAGUGUCAACCUUAUGAAAGAGAAAUCGGGAGAACGUAAAGGAUGUUCGUACAAGGAGUUUAUGGCGUGCAAACCGCCAAUCUACAACGGGGAGGUUGACCCGAUAAUUUGCCAAAGAUGGCUAAGUGAAGUCGAAGGGGUGUUUGAAAGGACCCACUGUGACGUAAGUGAUUUUGUCGCUUACGGAACGGGUCAGUUGAGGGGUCAAGCCAAGGAUUGGUGGGAUAACAAAAAGAAGGAGAUAGGAGCCGAAGCUGUGAGGCUCAUGACAUAGGAUGAGUUUAAGGUGCCAUUACUUAAACAUCAUAGUCCCAAGGCAGUCAUCAACAGGAUUAAGGAAGAGUUCAUCCAGUUAAGACAGAAGGGUGAAACGAUUGAUAAAAUCACGGGUAUCUUUAUGGAUAAGCUGAGAUUCUGUGACGAGUUAGUCACCACUGAAGAACAGAAGAUAUAUUAUUAUUACAACAUGCUGAGCGCUGAAUACCAGGAGUUCAUGACUCCCUCAAAGUAUGAAACCCUCACGGAAAUUAUCAACACCACCCGGGAGCGGGAAAUCGAGCUGAAGAAACAAAUCGAGAAGGGUGAGCGAAGGGCACAAGAUGUGAAUCCAAGCCCUACAAAGAAGGCUCGAACAGCUGAAUCAGUAAAGAAAACGGAUGCAAAGGGUGGGUCGCCAAGUUGCAAAAUUUGUGGAAAGGGGCACAAGGGUGAGUGCCGUUUCAAGGACAAACCGUGUCCUAUAUGCGGGAAAACUGGGCACACGGCAUCUUUAUGUCCGGGAAAGGUCUCAGUUUGCUACAAAUGUUAUCAGCCCGACCACAAAAAGUCCGAAUGUCCAGACUUAGUUGGAAAAAGAGACACUAAAUAAUCCCCAAUAGAAGCUCCAAAGGCGAAGGCCAGGUCCUUCCAACUUACAGCGGCUGAAGUGAAAACAGAACCCGAUGUGGUCUCAGGAAAAGAUACCGGGACGGAAAGUGGACAAGUCGGAGGCGACUUGUGUUUGAAGGGCGUGCUUUAAAGGUGACGAUGGACCUAAUCCGGAUGGCGAUCAAGCACAAUUCCAAGAACCGAACACGAUCUUUUGAAGCUUCCGUGAUUACUUAAAUAUGUUCAAAACAAUGUCUAUGUAGUUAACACUUAAAUACUUAUUUUGGGAUUGUUAAACUAGCAGUACUUAUCUAAAAUUUAACUU
Long non-coding RNA from Helianthus annuus (common sunflower), 1357 nucleotides. RefSeq lists it as uncharacterized. The record is from RefSeq and is a predicted model, not a curated record. The transcript has 3 exons. Lineage: Eukaryota; Viridiplantae; Streptophyta; Magnoliopsida; Asterales; Asteraceae.